Molecule: ribosomal RNA, 492 nt
Filed under: uncultured bacterium
Lineage: Bacteria
Description: partial 16S ribosomal RNA
Rfam family: Bacterial small subunit ribosomal RNA
Source: RNAcentral
AGUGAACGCUGGCGGUAGGCCUAACACAUGCAAGUCGAACGGCAGCACAGUAAGAGCUUGCUCUUACGGGUGGCGAGUGGCGGACGGGUGAGGAAUACAUCGGAAUCUACUUUUUCGUGGGGGAUAACGUAGGGAAACUUACGCUAAUACCGCAUACGACCUACGGGUGAAAGCAGGGGAUCUUCGGACCUUGCGCGAUUGAAUGAGCCGAUGUCGGAUUAGCUAGUUGGCGGGGUAAAGGCCCACCAAGGUGACGAUCCGUAGCUGGUCUGAGAGGAUGAUCAGCCACACUGGAACUGAGACACGGUCCAGACUCCUACGGGAGGCAGCAGUGGGGAAUAUUGGACAAUGGGCGAAAGCCUGAUCCAGCCAUACCGCGUGGGUGAAGAAGGCCUUCGGGUUGUAAAGCCCUUUUGUUGGGAAAGAAAAGCAGCAGGUUAAUACCCCGCUGUUCUGACGGUACCCAAAGAAUAAGCACCGGCUAACUUCGUG